This 2462-nucleotide small RNA is filed under the name Pan troglodytes (chimpanzee). RNAcentral's name for it is "processed transcript". Lineage: Eukaryota; Metazoa; Chordata; Mammalia; Primates; Hominidae. The record is from RNAcentral.
AUUCUAAGUCUGGCAGAUCGAGCAGCCCAGGGAAGCCGAUUCCCCUCCCUCAUCCUGCCAGAGGCUGCAACAUGUUUCUGAGAUGGGAACAGCGAGAGCUGCCCAACGGACGUGUCUAUUAUGUUGACCACAAUACCAAGACCACCACCUGGGAGCGGCCCCUUCCUCCAGGCUGGGAAAAACGCACAGAUCCCCGAGGCAGGUUUUACUAUGUGGAUCACAAUACUCGGACCACCACCUGGCAGCGUCCGACCGCGGAGUACGUGCGCAACUAUGAGCAGUGGCAGUCGCAGCGGAAUCAGCUCCAGGGGGCCAUGCAGCACUUCAGCCAAAGAUUCCUCUACCAGUCUUCGAGUGCUUCGACUGACCAUGAUCCCCUGGGCCCCCUCCCUCCUGGCUGGGAGAAGAGACAGGACAAUGGACGGGUGUAUUACGUGAACCAUAACACUCGCACGACCCAGUGGGAGGAUCCCCGGACCCAGGGGAUGAUCCAGGAACCAGCUCUGCCCCCAGGAUGGGAGAUGAAAUACACCAGCGAGGGGGUGCGAUACUUUGUGGACCACAAUACCCGCACCACCACCUUUAAGGAUCCUCGCCCGGGGUUUGAGUCGGGGACGAAGCAAGGUUCCCCUGGUGCUUAUGACCGCAGUUUUCGGUGGAAGUAUCACCAGUUCCGUUUCCUCUGCCAUUCAAAUGCCCUACCUAGCCACGUGAAGAUCAGCGUUUCCAGGCAGACGCUUUUCGAAGAUUCCUUCCAACAGAUCAUGAACAUGAAACCCUAUGACCUGCGCCGCCGGCUCUACAUCAUCAUGCGUGGCGAGGAGGGCCUGGACUAUGGGGGCAUCGCCAGAGAGUGGUUUUUCCUCCUGUCUCACGAGGUGCUCAACCCUAUGUAUUGUUUAUUUGAAUAUGCCGGAAAGAACAAUUACUGCCUGCAGAUCAACCCCGCCUCCUCCAUCAACCCGGACCACCUCACCUACUUUCGCUUUAUAGGCAGAUUCAUCGCCAUGGCGCUGUACCAUGGAAAGUUCAUCGACACGGGCUUCACCCUCCCUUUCUACAAGCGGAUGCUCAAUAAGAGACCAACCCUGAAAGACCUGGAGUCCAUUGACCCUGAGUUCUACAACUCCAUUGUCUGGAUCAAAGAGAACAACCUGGAAGAAUGUGGCCUGGAGCUGUACUUCAUCCAGGACAUGGAGAUACUGGGCAAGGUGACGACCCACGAGCUGAAGGAGGGCGGCGAGAGCAUCCGGGUCACGGAGGAGAACAAGGAAGAGUACAUCAUGCUGCUGACUGACUGGCGUUUCACCCGAGGCGUGGAAGAGCAGACCAAAGCCUUCCUGGAUGGCUUCAACGAGGUGGCCCCGCUGGAGUGGCUGCGCUACUUUGACGAGAAAGAGCUGGAGCUGAUGCUGUGCGGCAUGCAGGAGAUAGACAUGAGCGACUGGCAGAAGAGCACCAUCUACCGGCACUACACCAAGAACAGCAAGCAGAUCCAGUGGUUCUGGCAGGUGGUGAAGGAGAUGGACAACGAGAAGAGGAUCCGGCUGCUGCAGUUUGUCACUGGUACCUGCCGCCUGCCCGUCGGGGGAUUUGCCGAACUCAUCGGUAGCAACGGACCACAGAAGUUUUGCAUUGACAAAGUUGGCAAGGAAACCUGGCUGCCCAGAAGCCACACCUGCUUCAACCGUCUGGAUCUUCCACCCUACAAGAGCUAUGAACAGCUGAGAGAGAAGCUGCUGUUUGCCAUUGAGGAGACCGAGGGCUUUGGACAGGAGUAACCGAGGCCGCCCCUCCCACGCCCCCCAGCGCACAUGUAGUCCUGAGUCCUCCCUGCCUGAGAGGCCACUGGCCCCGCAGCCCUUGGGAGGCCCCCGUGGAUGUGGCCCUGUGUGGGACCACACUGUCAUCUCGCUGCUGGCAAAAAAGCCUGAUCCCAGGAGGCCCUGCAGUUCCCCCGACCCGCGGAUGGCAGUCUGGAAUAAAGCCCCCUAGUUGCCUUUGGCCCCACCUUUGCAAAGUUCCAGAGGGCUGACCCUCUCUGCAAAACUCUCCCCUGUCCUCUAGACCCCACCCUGGGUGUAUGUGAGUGUGCAAGGGAAGGUGUUGCAUCCCCAGGGGCUGCCGCAGAGGCCGGAGACCUCCUGGACUAGUUCGGCGAGGAGACUGGCCACUGGGGGUGGCUGUUUGGGACUGAGAGCGCCAAGGGUCUUUGCCAGCAAAGGAGGUUCUGCCUGUAAUUGAGCCUCUCUGAUGAUGGAGAUGAAGUGAAGGUCUGAGGGAGCGGGCCCUGGGGCGAGGCCAUCUCUGCCUGCCUCCCUAGCAGGCGCCAGCGUUGGAGGCUGAGUCGCAGGACACAUGCCGGCCAGUUAAUUCAUUCUCAGCAAAUGAAGGUUUGUCUAAGCUGCCUGGGUAUCCACGGGACAAAAACAGCAAACUCCCUCAGGCUUUGUCCAUGUAUA